AAAAUUUCUCGGGGUAGUUUGUUACAGCGUAAAAUAUGUCACUUCCUGUUGCCAGUAGGUGGCGCUAUGACUAUAACUGAAUAUUGGCAUAUCAAUCUGUUCAGGUCAGGAGUCUUAUCAAACAUGUGAAGUUUGGGGCAGAUUGGACAUUGUAUGUCUGAGUUAUAGCAACUUCAUUUUUCAUGGCGAAUCAUCGAAAUUCGUCAGGCCGCCACGGACACGCCCUUCAACGAAAACUCAAGAUCUUCGCAAUUUAACAUCGCAAAGGCCUUUAGAUUAGGCAUACCAAAUUUGGUGUUGAUCUGAAUAAAUCUCUAGGAGGAGUUCGUUAAAAUACAAGGCAUGCAAAUGAC
Molecule: long non-coding RNA, 353 nt
Organism: Cyprinus carpio carpio
Lineage: Eukaryota; Metazoa; Chordata; Actinopteri; Cypriniformes; Cyprinidae
Source: Ensembl